This 446-nucleotide ribosomal RNA is filed under the name uncultured bacterium. RNAcentral's name for it is "bacterial SSU rRNA". It matches the Rfam family "Bacterial small subunit ribosomal RNA", at positions 56 to 504 of the family's 1533-position model. The record is from RNAcentral.
UGCAGUCGAACGGGAUUCACCUUCGGGUGAUGAGAGUGGCGCACGGGUGAGUAACGCGUAUGCAACCUGCCUUUAACAGGGGGAUAGCCCGGAGAAAUCCGGAUUAAUACCCCAUAGUAUUUAGAUUCCGCAUGGGAUUUAAAUUAAAGCUCCGGCGGUUAAAGAUGGGCAUGCGUGACAUUAGUUAGUUGGUGAGGUAACGGCUCACCAAGACUACGAUGUCUAGGGGUUCUGAGAGGAUGAUCCCCCACACUGGUACUGAGACACGGACCAGACUCCUACGGGAGGCAGCAGUGAGGAAUAUUGGUCAAUGGGCGCAAGCCUGAACCAGCCAUCCCGCGUGAAGGAAGACGGCCCUAUGGGUUGUAAACUUCUUUUGUACACCAAGAAAUGUCCGUACGAGUAUGGAUUUGACGGUAGUGUAUGAAUAAGCAUCGGCUAACUCC